CUACGGGGGGCUGCAGUGGGGAAUAUUGGACAAUGGGGGCAACCCUGAUCCAGCCAUGCCGCGUGUGUGAAGAAGGCCUUUUGGUUGUAAAGCACUUUAAGCAGGGAGGAGAGGCUAAUGGUUAAUACCCAUUAGAUUAGACGUUACCUGCAGAAUAAGCACCGGCUAACUCUGUGCCAGCAGCCGCGGUAAUACAGAGGGUGCGAGCGUUAAUCGGAAUUACUGGGCGUAAAGCGAGUGUAGGUGGCUCAUUAAGUCACAUGUGAAAUCCCCGGGCUUAACCUGGGAACUGCAUGUGAUACUGGUGGGGCUCGAAUAUGUGAGAGGGAAGUAGAAUUCCAGGUGUAGCGGUGAAAUGCGUAGAGAUCUGGAGGAAUACCGAUGGCGAAGGCAGCUUCCUGGCAUAAUAUUGACACUGAGAUUCGAAAGCGUGGGUAGCAAACAGGAUUAGAUACCCGCGUAGUC
RNAcentral lists this ribosomal RNA (465 nucleotides) under uncultured bacterium. RNAcentral's name for it is "partial 16S ribosomal RNA". It matches the Rfam family "Bacterial small subunit ribosomal RNA", at positions 339 to 795 of the family's 1533-position model. The record is from RNAcentral.